UACGAAGGGGGCUAGCGUUGUUCGGAAUUAUUGGGCGUAAAGAGCUCGUAGGCGGUUUGUCGCGUCUGCCGUGAAAGUCCGGGGCUCAACUCCGGAUCUGCGGUGGGUACGGGCAGACUAGAGUGAUGUAGGGGAGACUGGAGUUCCUGGUGUAGCGGUGAAAUGCGCAGAUAUCAGGAGGAACACCGAUGGCGAAGGCAGGUCUCUGGGCAUUAACUGACGCUGAGGAGCGAAAGCAUGGGGAGCGAACAGG
This 253-nucleotide ribosomal RNA is filed under the name uncultured bacterium. RNAcentral describes it as "partial 16S ribosomal RNA". It matches the Rfam family "Bacterial small subunit ribosomal RNA", at positions 524 to 776 of the family's 1533-position model. The record is from RNAcentral.